Molecule: ribosomal RNA, 424 nt
Filed under: Lepidisis olapa
Lineage: Eukaryota; Metazoa; Cnidaria; Anthozoa; Scleralcyonacea; Keratoisididae
Description: partial 16S ribosomal RNA
Rfam family: Bacterial large subunit ribosomal RNA
Source: RNAcentral
GGCGGGUAUGAAUGGAACCACGAGGGUCUUACUGUCUCAAGAGGAAAGCCGAUGAAAUUAUAAUUGUAGUGAAGAUACUACAUAAACAUUGUAAGACGAAAAGACCCUAUCGAGCUUUACUGGAUACCGAUAGCGUUAAUUUAGAAUGAUCGAUACUAAGUAUCCUAAUUCUAAGUUAAUAAUUUUUGUUGGUAGGACAGUUUAGUUGGGGCGACUACCUUUGAAUAAGAAACGAAGGCGAGCUUAUGGUAUUAUUUAAAAUCUCAUUAGCCUCACAGUGAGGGGGACACCCCUAGCUGGCACACCGUAAGGGAUGUGGGCGAUAGUGACCCGAUAUGAUUAUCCAAAAUAAAUAUCGAAAGCGGAUAAAAGCUACCGUAGGGAUAACAGCGUAAUAUUGUCGGAGAGUUCUUAUCGAGGACAG